AAAUGAAUUGACGGGGGCCCGCACAAGCAGUGGAGUAUGUGGUUUAAUUCGACGAUACGCGAAGAACCUUACCAAGACUUGACAUCCUACUAACGAAGCAGAAAUGCAUUAGGUGCCUUUCGGGGAAAGUAGAGACAGGUGGUGCAUGGUUGUCGUCAGCUCGUGUCGUGAGAUGUUGGGUUAAGUCCCGCAACGAGCGCAACCCUUACGGUUAGUUGCUACGCAAGAGCACUCUAGCCGGACUGCCGUUGACAAAACGGAGGAAGGUGGGGAUGAUGUCAAAUCAUCAUGCCCCUUAUGUCUUGGGCUACACACGUACUACAAUGGCCGCUAACAACGGGACGCAAUGGCGCGAGCCGGAGCCAAACCCCAAAAGCGGUCUCAGUUCAGAUUGCAGGCUGAAAUUCGCCUGCAUGAAGGCGGAAUUGCUAGUAAUCGCGGAUCAGCAUGCCGCGGUGAAUACGUUCCCGGGCCUUGCACACACCGCCCGU
Molecule: ribosomal RNA, 491 nt
Filed under: uncultured bacterium
Lineage: Bacteria
Description: bacterial SSU rRNA
Rfam family: Bacterial small subunit ribosomal RNA
Source: RNAcentral